RNAcentral lists this ribosomal RNA (500 nucleotides) under uncultured bacterium. Its description in RNAcentral is "bacterial SSU rRNA". It matches the Rfam family "Bacterial small subunit ribosomal RNA", at positions 8 to 507 of the family's 1533-position model. The record is from RNAcentral.
AGAGUUUGAUCAUGGCUCAGAUUGAACGCUGGCGGUAUGCUUAACACAUGCAAGUCGAACGGUAACAGGCCUUCGGGCGCUGACGAGUGGCGGACGGGUGAGUAACGCGUAGGAAUCUGCCUCAUAGUGGGGGACAACGUGGGGAAACUCACGCUAAUACCGCAUACGCCUACGGGGGAAAGCGGGGGAUCUUCGGACCUCGCGCUAUGAGAUGAGCCUGCGUUAGAUUAGCUAGUUGGUAGGGUAAAGGCCUACCAAGGCGACGAUCUAUAGCUGGUCUGAGAGGACGAUCAGCCACACUGGGACUGAGACACGGCCCAGACUCCUACGGGAGGCAGCAGUGGGGAAUAUUGGACAAUGGGCGCAAGCCUGAUCCAGCAAUACCGCGUGUGUGAAGAAGGCCUUAGGGUUGUAAAGCACUUUCAAUUGGGAGGAAAACCUGCCGGUCAAUACCCGGUAGCUUGACAUUACCUUUAGAAGAAGCAUCGGCUAACUCCGUG